AUUGAACGCUGGCGGCAGGCCUAAUACAUGCAAGUCGAGCGGAGCGGCGGACGGGUGAGUAACGCCUAGGAAUCUGCCUGUGAGUGGGGGAUAACGUCCGGAAACGGGCGCUAAUACCGCAUACUAUCAGAUGAGCCUAGGUCGGAUUAGCUAGUUGGUGGGGUAAAGGCCUACCAAGGUGACGAUCCGUAACUGGUCUGAGCGGAUGAUCAGUCACACUGGGACUGAGACACGGUCCCAACGCCUACGGGAGGCAGCAGUGGGGAAUAUUGGACAAUGGACGAAAGCCUGAUCCAGCCAUGCCGCGUGUGUGAAGAGGGUCUUCGGAUUGUAAAGAACUAUGAGUUGUGGGGCGUUACCAACAGAGUAAGCACCGGCUAAAUUCGUGCCAGCAGCCGCGGUAAUGC
This 407-nucleotide ribosomal RNA is filed under the name uncultured bacterium. RNAcentral's name for it is "partial 16S ribosomal RNA". It matches the Rfam family "Bacterial small subunit ribosomal RNA", at positions 30 to 526 of the family's 1533-position model. The record is from RNAcentral.